This 616-nucleotide ribosomal RNA is filed under the name uncultured Bacteroidales bacterium. Its description in RNAcentral is "bacterial SSU rRNA". It matches the Rfam family "Bacterial small subunit ribosomal RNA", at positions 45 to 655 of the family's 1533-position model. Lineage: Bacteria; Pseudomonadati; Bacteroidota; Bacteroidia; Bacteroidales. The record is from RNAcentral.
GGCCUAACACAUGCAAGUCGAGGGGCAUCACGAGGUAGCAAUACUUUGGUGGCGACCGGCGCACGGGUGCGUAACGCGUAUGUAACCUACCUAUAACAGGGGCAUAACACUGAGAAAUUGGUACUAAUUCCCCAUAAUAUUCGGAGAGGCAUCUCUCCGGGUUGAAAACUCCGGUGGUUAUAGAUGGACAUGCGUUGUAUUAGCUAGUUGGUGAGGUAACGGCUCACCAAGGCAACGAUACAUAGGGGGACUGAGAGGUUAACCCCCCACACUGGUACUGAGACACGGACCAGACUCCUACGGGAGGCAGCAGUGAGGAAUAUUGGUCAAUGGACGCAAGUCUGAACCAGCCAUGCCGCGUGCAGGAAGACGGCUCUAUGAGUUGUAAACUGCUUUUGUACGAGGGUAAACUCACCUACGUGUAGGUGACUGAAAGUAUCGUACGAAUAAGGAUCGGCUAACUCCGUGCCAGCAGCCGCGGUAAUACGGAGGAUUCAAGCGUUAUCCGGAUUUAUUGGGUUUAAAGGGUGCGUAGGCGGUUUGAUAAGUUAGAGGUGAAAUCCCGGGGCUUAACUCCGGAACUGCCUCUAAUACUGUUAGACUAGAGAGUAGUUGC